This 1205-nucleotide ribosomal RNA is filed under the name metagenome. Its description in RNAcentral is "SSU rRNA". It matches the Rfam family "Eukaryotic small subunit ribosomal RNA", at positions 558 to 1750 of the family's 1831-position model. The record is from RNAcentral.
AGUCUGGUGCCAGCAGCCGCGGUAAUUCCAGCUCCAAUAGCGUAUAUUAAAUUUGUUGCAGUUAAAAAGCUCGUAGUUGGAUUUCGGAGUGUGAGAGAGUGUUGGUCCGGCAAAAUGCUGUGAUCUGCUCUUCAUCUCCUACCUUUCAAACGCACGCCCAUAGCCUUAACUGGUUGUGGAGUCGGGCUUUGGAUCGUUUACUUUGAAAAAAUUAGAGUGUUUAAAGCAGGCGUAACCAGCCUCUGAAUACCGCAGCAUGGAUAAUAAAAUAGGACUUUGGGCCUAUUUUGUUGGUUUUUAGGUCUGAAGUAAUGAUUAAAAGGGAUAGUUGGGGGUAUUAGUAUUUAGUUGUCAGAGGUGAAAUUCUAAGAUUUACUAAAGACUAACUACUGCGAAAGCAUUUACCAAGGAUGUUUUCAUUAAUCAAGAACGAAAGUUGGGGGAUCGAAGAUGAUCAGAUACCGUCGUAGUCCUAACCUUAAACUAUGCCGACCAGGGAUUCGGAGAAGUUAAAUGGAUGACUCUCCGGGCACCUUGUGAGAAAUCAUAAGUAUUUGGGUUCCGGGGGGAGUAUGGUCGCAAGGCUGAAACUUAAAGGAAUUGACGGAAGGGCACCACCAGGAGUGGAACCUGCGGCUUAAUUUGACACAACACGGGAAAACUCACCUGGUCCAGACACAGGAAGGAUUGACAGAUUGAUAGCUCUUUCUUGAUUCUGUGGGUGGUGGUGCAUGGCCGUUUCUAGUUGGUGGAGCGAUUUGUCUGGUUAAUUCCGUUAACGAACGAGACCUUAACCUAUUAAAUAGUCGUGCGAAGUGUGCCGAUUUUUAUCGGUAACUGCUUUGCAAGAGACUUCUUAGAGGGACUAUUCGAACCUAAGCGAAUGGAAGUUUGAGGCCAAAACAGGUCUGUGAUGCCCUUCGAUGUCCUGGGCUGCACGCGCGUUACACUGAUGCAUUCAACGAGUUUUUUCCUUGCCCGGUAGGGUUGGGUAAACUUUUCAAAGUGCAUCGUGCUGGGGAUAGAUGUUUGUAAUUAUCCAUCUUGAACGAGGAAUUCCUAGUAAGUGCAUGUCAUCAACAUGCGCUGAUUACGUCCCUGCCCUUUGUACACACCGCCCGUCGCUCCUACCGAUUGGAUGGUCCGGCAAGAACUUCGGAUGCCUUGGAUCUCGGUGGAUGUAAUAGUCCGCUGAACCAUUGGCA